UCCCUGGUGGCUCAAUGGUGAAGAAUCUGCCUGCCAAUGCAGGAGACACAGGUUCAAUCCCUGAUCGGGGAA
RNAcentral lists this transfer RNA (72 nucleotides) under Bos taurus (domestic cattle). It matches the Rfam family "tRNA". Rfam says of the family: Transfer RNA (tRNA) molecules are approximately 80 nucleotides in length. Their secondary structure includes four short double-helical elements and three loops (D, anti-codon, and T loops). RNAcentral also lists the same sequence under 5 other names. The record is from Rfam by way of RNAcentral. Lineage: Eukaryota; Metazoa; Chordata; Mammalia; Artiodactyla; Bovidae.